Molecule: transfer RNA, 70 nt
Filed under: Dipodomys ordii (Ord's kangaroo rat)
Lineage: Eukaryota; Metazoa; Chordata; Mammalia; Rodentia; Heteromyidae
Rfam family: tRNA
About the family: Transfer RNA (tRNA) molecules are approximately 80 nucleotides in length. Their secondary structure includes four short double-helical elements and three loops (D, anti-codon, and T loops).
Source: Rfam by way of RNAcentral
GGGAGUGUGGCUUAGAGGUAGAGCGCUUGCCUCACAUGCAUGAAGCCCUGGGUUUGAUUCCUUAGUACCA